This 407-nucleotide ribosomal RNA is filed under the name uncultured bacterium. RNAcentral describes it as "bacterial SSU rRNA". It matches the Rfam family "Bacterial small subunit ribosomal RNA", at positions 495 to 902 of the family's 1533-position model. The record is from RNAcentral.
AGCACUGUAGGAGUCAGCAGCCGCGGUAAUACGUAGGGGGCAAGCGUUAUCCGGAUUUACUGGGUGUAAAGGGAGCGUAGGUGGCAUGAUAAGUCAGAUGUGAAAGCCCGGGGCUCAACCCGGGAUUGCAUUUGAAACUAUCAAGCUAGAGUGCAGGAGAGGUAAGUGGAAUUCCUAGUGUAGCGGUGAAAUGCGUAGAUAUUAGGAGGAACACCAGUGGCGAAGGCGGCUUACUGGACUGUAACUGACACUGAGGCUCGAAAGCGUGGGGAGCAAACAGGAUUAGAUACCCUGGUAGUCCACGCUGUAAACGAUGAAUACUAGGUGUCGGGGCCCAUCCGGGCUUCGGUGCCGCAGCUAACGCAAUAAGUAUCCACCUGGGGAGUACGUUCGCAAGAAUGAAACUC